RNAcentral lists this long non-coding RNA (803 nucleotides) under Rattus norvegicus (Norway rat). RNAcentral's name for it is "long non-coding RNA NONRATT009495". The record is from RNAcentral. Lineage: Eukaryota; Metazoa; Chordata; Mammalia; Rodentia; Muridae.
UCUAGCGGCGCGGCUGAGGGUUGAUUGCUUGCGGCGGCUUCCGCGGGCGGGUGCGCGAACGGACGGCUGACGGCUCGGGGCGGUGGUAGCGGCACAGCGGCCAAUGAGGGGAUCCGGAGGGGGCGGGGCGUCGGCUGCGGUUUUGUUCCGCGGUGGCUGAGGCGCACGGUCCCCAUGCGCGGAGCGCGGCCUGCGCGGCCGGCGCCUUGCCCCAGCUACGGAGCCCGGUGCUCACCCGUCGCGCGGACAUUGCUCUGUGCCGUCGUUCGCCUGCCCAUCGCUAAGAGCUCCAUCCACCGGAACGCCGUGUCCUUGCGCUGUAAGCCCGGAAUCUCCGUACGUCGGCCGGCGCCGCGCAGCCGCACGUCGAGAGCCGGGUGCAUCGCCACAGCGCGCGGAACACCCUCUAGGAAGCAGGAAGUUUGACGAGAUAUGAUGGUCCCUUAAGAGAAUCCCAAGAGCAGAUCCUCCCCGACGUCCUGUGGAAGGUGACUUGGAAGUGUAUUCCGAAGCCACUUUUCUGCGUAGACUGAAGGAGCUGGGGACCGAACCCAGGGCCUUGCGUUCGCCAGUGACAAAGCCCUGAAGAGUCUGCAAAUGGGUCAGCAUCUUUAAGUCAGAGCUAUAACCCUGAGCUUUGGCUCAGACCUGAUGGCUUGAGCCUGCUGAUGUCCAGGCUUCUGGAAAUCCAGUGCCCAUAGAUGUGGACUAAGGAAGAGCCCCGACCAUGGUCACUCUCAUCACGGAGAAGCUGCAGAACCAGAGUUUGGAUGACCUUACCCGAAGGGCCUGUGAGGCUGUCC